Molecule: long non-coding RNA, 374 nt
Organism: Choloepus didactylus (southern two-toed sloth)
Lineage: Eukaryota; Metazoa; Chordata; Mammalia; Pilosa; Megalonychidae
Exons: 3
Source: RefSeq, a predicted model, not a curated record
CGGGAGGGAACAGUGAGGGAGGCCAGGGGCUCAGGUGGAGUCAGGAGGGAAAUGGUCCAAGGUGAGCAGAACACCACAAGGAGAAACCAGGUCCGAGAACUGGCCUCGGGACUGUUGUGGUGGUGUGAGUGGAGAGUUUCAAGGGUCAACCAGAGGCAAAGCCAGAUCUGGGGCCCUUCUCUGCCAAAUGUUUGUUGCUUCUGCCACAGGAGAGAGAAGGGGAAAGAAGGCAAAAGAAACAAAGAGAUCCCACAUUUGAAGUGGUUGGACUUUUUUAUCUAUCCUUGCCUUCAGGGUCUUCUGGGUUACAGUCACCCCGCUUUUUUUUUAAAGUGGCUCAUUUUCCCCCCUUUCCUAUUUAAGAAGUGAAGCAA